CCUACGGGAGGCUGCAGUGGGGGAUAUUGGACAAUGGGGGAAACCCUGACCCAGCGACGCCGCGUGAGUGAAGAAGUAUUUCGGUAUGUAAAGCUCUGUCAGCAGGGAAGAAAGAAAUGACGGUACCUGACCAAGAAGCCCCGGCUAACUACGUGCCAGCAGCCGCGGUAAUACGUAGGGGGCAAGCGUUAUCCGGAAUUACUGGGUGUAAAGGGAGCGUAUGCGGAUAUGCAAGUCUGGCGUGAAAGGCGGGGGCUCAACCCCCGGACUGCUCUGGAUACAGUGUAACUUGAGUGCAGGAGAGGUAGGCGGAAUUCCUAGUGUAGCGGUGAAAUGCGUAGAUAUUAGGAGGAACACCAGUGGCGAAGGCGGCUUACUGGACUGUAACUGACGUUGAGGCUCGAAAGCGUGGGGAGCAAACAGGAUUAGAUACCCGUGUAGUC
This 443-nucleotide ribosomal RNA is filed under the name uncultured bacterium. Its description in RNAcentral is "partial 16S ribosomal RNA". It matches the Rfam family "Bacterial small subunit ribosomal RNA", at positions 338 to 795 of the family's 1533-position model. The record is from RNAcentral.